This is a long non-coding RNA of Setaria italica (foxtail millet), 407 nucleotides long. RefSeq lists it as uncharacterized. Lineage: Eukaryota; Viridiplantae; Streptophyta; Magnoliopsida; Poales; Poaceae. The record is from RefSeq and is a predicted model, not a curated record. The transcript is spliced from 3 exons.
UUUCUUUCAGCUGCAUUCGUGAGGAAGGUUGUAACUUGUAACAUCGGUGUCAUGUGUUUCCAGGUUCUCGUGAGAACAUAGUUUGAUACUUCACAUCUUGUUUUGAGAACGAGCAACUUUGUAUUCAAAUGGAACUAUGUGAUCGCUGUCUAUCUGUGAAUCUAAACCCGCCACUGAAGCAUUGGGAAGCCUUGGAACUUCUGUAUCAGAUCUAUUGAGGGGGAUUUGGAGAUGUUGUCUCAAGCAGAAAAGAAGGAAGUGAGAAGUUGCUUUGACAAAUUGUGCCUACAUUUUGUUUGCUUUCAGAGGUGAUGGAGAAGGUCACUGGCGAGGUCGCCGACGCAUUCCCUAUCAAUGAAAAUCUCAAGGAGGCUGCCGACGCCUCGAGGAUUAAGGCGGUCACCGAU